Molecule: long non-coding RNA, 612 nt
Organism: Rosa chinensis
Lineage: Eukaryota; Viridiplantae; Streptophyta; Magnoliopsida; Rosales; Rosaceae
Exons: 3
Source: RefSeq, a predicted model, not a curated record
CCAUUUAAGCAUGUACUACCUGAUUUUGAUCUCAUGACAUUCACUUAGGUUCACUUUUCACCACUACAGCGCCCAAAGGAUCCUUGAUAUUCAGAUUUACUUUUGACAUUGUGUGAUUGUUUAUGGAUGUGAUUACUAGAAUUAUACGAAUCAAAACUCUGUAUUACAAUAUAGCACUUCAAAAGUAAUCCUUUACAAAAUUAUCAUAUUUUUCAUUUGAGGAAUGACUUCUAAGGCAUUGAGGUUUGAAUGAUCUCUUAAGUUCUUCCACUCCCUUGAUUACUAAUUGAAAUUGGAUGCUGGAUUGGAUGCAUUGGGUGAGUUGGUACAUUCUCGAUUCUCAACAAAUACUUUCCCCAGCUGGGACCUUAUUAGCCACAAUGGAGAAAUCAAUACCCUUAGAGGAAAUGUUAACUGGAUGAAGGCACGUGAGGGACUACUUAAGUGUACUAACUUGGUUUAUCAAAAAAUGAGUUAAAGAAGCUGUUACCAAUUGUGGAUGCCAGUUCAUCCGAUUCUGGUAAAUUAGAGCACUUUCUGUUGCAUGCACAUAAUUUAUUGAAAUUAUAUUGAUGAGAACUAGUAUGUGACCCUUAUCGAAAUAGAAGGAAU